This is a long non-coding RNA of Octopus bimaculoides (California two-spot octopus), 1973 nucleotides long. Lineage: Eukaryota; Metazoa; Mollusca; Cephalopoda; Octopoda; Octopodidae. The record is from RefSeq and is a predicted model, not a curated record.
AAAAAUGAGAAGACCCCACGGUGUCCGACAUAGCCAGAAAAGUAAUUGUCAUAUAAAUCUCAGCUUACACCGGGUACUUGGCUAUAGGUCCUACGAAUUACACCCAACACCGGUUACCGGCUUAUCUAUCUUGUUGUUAAGACACAAAAUUCAGAGUUUAUGAAACCAUGUGUUUCUAUUUUAUCUCUGGUGUGCAUUUUAACCACUGCACAAAGCAGUGUCUUCUUAAAACCCUUUCGGUUUCCCUGUGAUCCUCACGAGGACGAGACGAUUAUAAGAGAGUUAUGUUGUUAAUAAUGUAAAGUUCCCAAACUCGCUCCAUCAAACCUUCUUCCUCUGUGAAUGUGAACAUUUUGCCUAUCAAAUAAUUAAUUAUACAAAAGUCAUCUGAGAAGAGAGUCUUUUUCUGUGAAUACAGUUUAAUGAACAUAACAAGUAGGCCUUAGUCAACAUGACUAACUAAAGUAAGGACUUGAAAUUGGUAAAAUUCAUCACAGUCAUCAAAUUACCAAUUAAAGCAGUAUCCUGUAAACCUAGCUCUCUCCUUUGCUGGUUUUUAACAACCCACACCUUUCCCUUUCUAGUUGAGAACAUUGAUCCAGGCCAUCACACUACUCACAAACAUCAUCAUCAUCGUCAUCGUUUAACGCCCGCUUUCCUUUUUCUACAUAUAUACAUAAUUGCUUCAGCAACAACAAAAACCCAUCUAUCUCUUAACAUUGAUAUUAGCAUAGCUUUCACUCGCUUGAAACCAAGUGCCUACAACCUGGAAUUCUUGUUCAGAUCAUCAAUAACACAUUUACAAUCUAGUUUCCGAAUGAUAUACUACAAAGAUCCAUUUCCUCAUCCAUUGUUUUUACCAUAUACCUACCCAAUGUUCUCAUUCGGGACUUCCAAUCUCUCUACAAUAAACUACAUUUUACACAUGUAGACCAUUUGCUCUUGUGUAAACAGUAAAAAUGAAAGCUCAUCAGAAUAUUCAAAGGACACCGUUUCUUUGUACUGCAACUUCCAAACCUCACCGUCCCCACCAUGCAUUAAUAUCCAGAUGUGUUUAUAAGAUAGCAGAAGAUUGCUUCAACACUCUCAUACAAAUGCUCUCUUUUCCAUUCAGUUCAGAAACAUUAAAAAGACAUUCAUAUAAAAAUAUCUGCAGCAUCAGCAAACACAUCAGCCUCAAAGAUUAUGUGCUGGAAUGUUUACUAACAAUAAAAAGGGCAAAUGAACAACAGCUGUGUCCACCUUGGCCACCACCAGAAUCCGAUGGAGUGAAUGCAACACUUCCCAAAUUGUCACUCUGCACCUCAUGUUGAAACGUGCUGUAUGGUCUUCAACUUGGUGGAGGAAUAGAUCUGUGGACUGCAUUUUGUUGUUUGACCAACUUCUUGCAUGCCACACAGGUUUGCUUGAUCAGGGCUACCAAGGCCGCACAACAAUGCUAUUUGUGUUAAGAAUAAAGCCCUAUCCUAGCAGCAGACUAUCUGCCUGACGUGCUACACUACUCCAUCACCAUACAGCCAUUGUCACACCAUUACAGCAGCACUUACAAUGGAUCUUUCUACAACAAUACAUCUGUCAAUUCUCACUGAAUAACCAAUGAUAUAAUUAUUAAAGAGAUUUUAUGUUCAGUCUAUUGAGACAUUUUUAAUCAGUUCCAACACUUAACUAAAACAUGUUCCUGUCAUUGUCUAUUGCAUUAUCAGUGGUCCACUGUGUCUUGACCAUAGACCUUACCUACCAUGUGGAAGAAGAGAGAAGUCCAGGAACAUAUGUAGCAGACAUUGCUGCUGAUUCUAAACUUUUAGACAAUGUUAAACCAUCUGAUCAACAUUUGAUAACAUUCAGUCAAUUCAAACGAAAGGUGGCACAGUUAUUUAAUAUCACCAAAACAGGUAAACUGUACACUGCUCAGACAUUGGAUGCAGAAGAUCUUUGUACAUUCAACAAAGAAUGUUCCAGAACUAUGAAAGUUG